CUAUGACAAAUAUUUUGUCAUGGCGGAAGGAG
This 32-nucleotide non-coding RNA is filed under the name unclassified sequences. The record is from Rfam.